Molecule: ribosomal RNA, 301 nt
Filed under: uncultured bacterium
Lineage: Bacteria
Description: partial 16S ribosomal RNA
Rfam family: Bacterial small subunit ribosomal RNA
Source: RNAcentral
CAGCAGCCGCGGGAAUACGGAGGGUGCAAGCGUUAAUCGGAAUUACUGGGCGUAAAGCGUGCGCAGGCGGUUAUAUAAGACAGAUGUGAAAUCCCCGGGCUCAACCUGGGACCUGCAUUUGUGACUGUAUAGCUAGAGUACGGUAGAGGGGGAUGGAAUUCCGCGUGUAGCAGUGAAAUGCGUAGAUAUGCGGAGGAACACCGGUGGCGAAGGCAAUCCCCUGGACCUGUACUGACGCUCAUGCACGAAAGCGUGGGGAGCAAACAGGAUUAGAUACCCCCGUAGUCCCUGUCUCUUAUAC